UACGGAGGGUGCAAGCGUUAUCCGGAUUCACUGGGUUUAAAGGGUGCGUAGGUGGGCAGGUAAGUCUGUGGUGAAAUCCUAUAGCUUAACUAUAGAACUGCCAUGGAUACUAUUUGUCUUGAAUAUCGUAGAGGUAAGCGGAAUAUGUCAUGUAGCGGUGAAAUGCUUAGAUAUGACAUAGAACACCAAUUGCGAAGGCAGCUUGCUAUGCGAUUAUUGACACUGAGGCACGAAAGCGUGGGUAGCAAACAGG
RNAcentral lists this ribosomal RNA (253 nucleotides) under uncultured bacterium. RNAcentral describes it as "partial 16S ribosomal RNA". It matches the Rfam family "Bacterial small subunit ribosomal RNA", at positions 524 to 776 of the family's 1533-position model. The record is from RNAcentral.